This 560-nucleotide ribosomal RNA is filed under the name Xenocytaea proszynskii. Its description in RNAcentral is "partial 16S ribosomal RNA". The stretch from base 169 to 465 matches the Rfam family "Bacterial large subunit ribosomal RNA", at positions 2074 to 2646 of the family's 2925-position model. Lineage: Eukaryota; Metazoa; Arthropoda; Arachnida; Araneae; Salticidae. The record is from RNAcentral.
UUAAUAGUAAAAUCUGCUCAAUGAAAAAUAAAUAGCCGCAAUAAGUGCUAAGGUAGCAUAAUCAUUUGUCUUCUAAUUAAAGACUAGAACAAAAGAUUUAAUAUUUUAAAUUUUUUAUUUAAAUUAAUAUUUAAAAUUAUUUUAAAUGUAAAAAAACAUUUUUUUAAAAAAUAGACGACAAGACCCUAUUGAACUUAACUUUAGUUAAACUGGGGCAGUAAAUUAAUAAUUAUUUUAAUUUAUAUUAAAUAUCAAAAAUUCAAAAAAUUGAAUAAUUCAGUUACCAUAGGGAUAACAGCGUAAUUAUAUUUUAGAGCCCUUAUCUAAAAAUUAGAUUACGACCUCGAUGUUGAAUUAAUAUUCUUUUCUUUAAAGCAAAUUUUAAAAAAGAAAGUCUGUUCGACUUUUAAAAAAUUACAUGAUUUGAGUUCAGACCGGUGUAAGCCAGGUCGGUUUCUAUCUUUUAAAAACAACUCUACAGUACGAAAGGACCUACAGAUUUAAUAUAAUUUUCUAUAUGGCAGAUAAAUGCAUUAGAAUUAGAAUCUAAUAAUGCUUAA